This 253-nucleotide ribosomal RNA is filed under the name uncultured bacterium. Its description in RNAcentral is "partial 16S ribosomal RNA". It matches the Rfam family "Bacterial small subunit ribosomal RNA", at positions 524 to 776 of the family's 1533-position model. The record is from RNAcentral.
UACGGAGGGUGCGAGCGUUAUUCGGAUUCACUGGGCGUAAAGCGCACGUAGGCGGUUUGGUAAGUCUGAUGUGAAAGCCCUCGGCUCAAUCGAGGAAGUGCAUUGGAUACUGCCGAACUAGAGUACAGGAGAGGAAGAUGGAAUUCCCGGUGUAGAGGUGAAAUUCGUAGAUAUCGGGAGGAACAACAGAGGCGAAGGCGAUCUUCUGGACUGUAACUGACGCUGAGGUGCGAAAGCAUGGGUAGCAAACAGG